AGAGCAACCUGAUUUAAAGUGAUUUUGGUCAGUUGGCGAUCCGAGUAUGUGAUAUGUCCUCCAGCACCCUAGGUUACAUUGUGAAACUCCACGACAGUGAACACACCAGUGUAGAUCUUAGCAGCAAUUUGGUGAAAUUGAGUUCCUUCAUUUUUCCAGUCACUUGUCUGAUCACGCUUCUGUCUGAUCAUGUGACUCAUUGACGUAUUACUCAACCAUGGCCUCAACUAGGACAGUUAAUAAAUUAUUAGAAAAUGUUUUGCGGACAUUUGCUAAUGAAUAUAAAAGAGGAUAUUCUGCGGUAAGGAGGUCAAACAUUAUAGGAAGGGCUGCUAAAGCCACUGGGUAUUCAGGAGCAGCUUUCUACAAAAUACUACGUGAAGAUACAGAAUUGAAAUCAUUCCUCAAUGAGGCAAAGGCAGUGGGAAAUGAACGUGAAAAAUUACAGGCCACUAAGCGUAGACGUCCAUUUGGAAGCUCGGCACCAGUAGAUGAACAUGGAUUAGAUGAAAAACCGCUGUGUUCAUGGAGUGAUCAAAUUAUAGUUGAUGGCCCAUUAACCUCAACUGAAAGCCAUUUCAAGUCAGGGAAUGUUACCAUCCCAAGAAAAAAAAGAAAAAGAAGGAAGAAACUUCAAUCUGACCCAACUGAAAGCCAUCUCCAGACAGUGAAUGAAAUCAUCCCAAAGAAAAGAAGGAAGAUACUUCCACCUGGGCCAAGAGUACGCCCACCAAGUGAGAGAAUCAAGGCCCGUAAAGCACAAGCAGAACCAGAAGUAAAUGUACCUCCGCCACAAGAUCAACAUGUUGAAAAAGAGCCUCAAUCUUUACCACCACAGGCUCAAAAUCUUGAAGCAGAGCUGCAAGGUUUACCACCAGAGGCUCAAAAUGUUGAAAUAGACCUUCAGGCAUCACCACAGGUUCAUGCAGGUCAACCUGAAGUCAUAGAUUGGUAUACUGGAGCAUCCGUCAGGAAUGUGAUCUUGGAAGGGUUCAAGGCAGGGACGUUUUUCACUGUCAAGACCCUCAACAAGGAACUAAAAAGCCGUGGAAUCUGCAAUAUUAGCCGGACAACACUUAGGGAAGCUUUAAAGGCUGAUGAUUUUAGGUUUAAGAGAUGUGGAAUGAACACAUUUAUACUACUAGACGAGUCACACAUUGCAGCAGAAGCGUAUCCUCCCCAAUUGUUCCUGUAACCUCCUUCUUUUCUGGAAGGGCGAGCGGCUAGAAAUAGUCAGACCUAAUAAACCUCCCAAGGAAUAUGUACCAGACAGUUGUCGGAGGCUGGGUGUCGGAUUAUCUGACUCCCUCAAUACCACUGCGUAACAGGUGAAAUAACAUGGCCGAGGUGUGACGGCUACUUGAAUCUCAUUGUCGCUUUCCACUGGGUCUGGAGAACCCAUGGUAUAAAAGGACAAUUUGUUUCUCCAUUCAUAUGUGGAGUUUCAUGGCCCGGUGUUAAGUCCAGGGACCCAAUCAGAACGCUCUGCUUCGUCACGUGGAACAAAUAUUGAAAAUGUCAAAACGGACUGAAUAAAUAUCACAUCGUUGAUUGGCUGAUUGGUUUUGUGGCGUCACACAAAACUCUGCGGGCAACUGCCAGGAGGAGGAAUAUUGAGAGUGAACUCAGCUGGGGUUUAUUUACAUAGUGGUCAGUUAAAUCGGGCAGAUUUAUCAAAUAAUUAUUAUCAAAGGCAUGGCCUAGUUGUAGCUUGUAAAAUUUAAUAGAAUAUAAUAGCAAAGAAAUCCAUGAGAUGUUGUUACAAUAUAAAUACAGUGAAACCUCUGAAGUGGAACACCUCUAGCAAUGGAACACCUCUUAAGUGGAACACCUCUGUAAGUGGAACACCUCUAGAAGUGAAACACCUC
RNAcentral lists this unclassified non-coding RNA (1868 nucleotides) under Owenia fusiformis. Its description in RNAcentral is "misc RNA OFUS_LOCUS12691". The record is from RNAcentral. Lineage: Eukaryota; Metazoa; Annelida; Polychaeta; Sabellida; Oweniidae.